CAUAGAUACUACAUACACACAUGGAUAUGAAACAGGAAGUCGGUAUCCAAUUAACUCUUUGAAGUUCACCUGUAAACGUCAUAACCAGCAUAGCUCUAUCCUUGGCGCUUUUCUCUCUGUCUAUGUUUUCAAGAAUUUUCUUGACUCACUUAUUUUUGUGAAAGAAGGCCUCAUGUUUACAUGACAAAAUUAGAAGACCUCCAUUUUUAUUUGUAACCACCUUUUCUAGACUCUCGAACGGAGUUAGCUAGUAAGUCUUGGAAUCAUAAUAGUGUAUUGUUUGUUACAUGGACUGAAACUAUUCUCGUGUCAAUGUAAUGAGAAAUGACUGAGAUAAUAGCCAAAAACUAGUUUUUUAAUAUUAAUUUUGUAACCACCUUUUUGAGACUUCUGCACCAGGUAUGAACAAGUUACUACUUUGAGUGUAUUCAUUAAGGCCUCUUAUAUAGACUGUUUAUGGUUUCAUUUUUCUAGAUGCUAUGUUUCAAAAGUAAUAAUAUAUUUUUUGCAAGUGUUUCAAAGGGUGUGGUUUAAUUUUUAGUGAGAACUGAGUAGUGAAAGAAUAGGUUAUUUACCAAGAAACACAAGCAGGAUUUCAGUGGCAUUGAUGAGACAUUGUUACAUGAUUGUAAAGCUUUAUAUUUAUGCUACCACAGAGAACUAUCAAGAUAGAGAUGAUGUACAUUACAGUAUGUACUGUAUGGUGAUACAUUAAAAUUUGUUGAAGGACUCAUAAUAAUAAUCAAUCUAUUGG
RNAcentral lists this long non-coding RNA (754 nucleotides) under Amphimedon queenslandica. RNAcentral describes it as "uncharacterized LOC109593040". Lineage: Eukaryota; Metazoa; Porifera; Demospongiae; Haplosclerida; Niphatidae. The record is from RNAcentral.